UAAUUGAUAUAUGGAUUUUGUGUUAAUCAUGGCAACAGUUGUUCUUCUUUUCUUUCUACUCUUUCUGCUGUCAGUUCGAAUUUUCGAAUUUAAAUAUUAUUUGUACAACAGCUUUCAUGAAAAUUUCGGUGAACUAAUGGAACGACUUCUAAAUUCAUUAUGCAGAACUACUCCAAGAAUACUGCAGCUGCAAAGAAGUCAGUUUCAGCAAAGUGUCAAUAUGCUGCUCUUUAGGUAUUAUCGGAUUAACGACGACAGGGCCGCUUUAAAGCAGAUACAAAAACAACUUGGUUUUUUGAAGAGCAAAGCAAUUGAUGAGCGGCAUCAACUUGAUGCCAAAAUUGCUGAAUUACAAAAGCGGAUCGAGCGCGUGAAGCGUAAGAUGCGAAAAGUUGAUAAGGAGUCCAAAAAGAGUAAAAAGUAAACUCGAAAUUAUUAAGGAAAGUUGAGAAAAAGAAAAUCCGUUUCUCUUUAAGAUUGCAGCUACAAAAAUAUUUAAAAAACAUUAAAAAUGUGCAUCAUAGAUUGUAUAUUUUUCCCAAUAAUUUCUCUCAUUUGGAAAGUUCAAUAAAUACAAUAUUGCAUUUAAUUUUUGAGUUUUUCCGUUGGACAUUUUAGUAACAUGAAUAAUUUUCAACUGCACCCGAAAGUAUGCUACAAAAUAUUAAUUUUAACGCACAGAAACUGCCCGAGUUGGAAUUUAUACCUGUGACGUUUAUUUUAGUUAAUUCAAAUUUGUUUCAACAUAUUAGCUUUUCGAAAAUCUUCAAUUUUUCGAUACUUUAUUUCGUUUUUUUUUUUGUCUUAAAUUAACCAAUUUUCUUAUCAUCCCGCGUUCUGGGAACCUCAAAAUUCACAGUAAAUUGAAGCCAUGAUUCACAUCGCCAUGCAAAUUUCCUCAUUGUGUGUCAAAAUUUUGCAACCACAUCAAAAUUUUGUUCAACACAUUGUCAGGUACUCAAAUAAAAUCCGUGAAGCGGGAAAAGCCAAGGAAAAUGUUCACUUUUUAAAACAGCAGCGAGCGCAACUGAAGGAGUUACAAAAAAAGAUAGCUCUCAAAAAAGAUGAAAUUAAAAAGAAAAUAAAUAAGCUGGAUUCACAAAUUGAAGAAAUUAAAAAGAAGAAUAGACGGGAGAAGAAAAAAGAAGAAGAUCAAAAUUAAUAUAUUAAAUAUGAGUUUAUCAAUUCUUUAAAAAUAAAACCCAAAGUAUGGGUCUUUAAAUAUUGUUUUAAAAUAAUGAUAUAUAGUAUUAAAUUACAUUCGAGUAUAUACAUAACUGCAAUAAUUAAGUUGAAGGAUAUCUUCGACAAAGCGAAAAUAAACAUUUUACGGAAACCUACAUUCAAAUUGAUAAACUACACAAACUUCUAUUCUAGAAGUCUAUGCAUAUAUUCUCAAACCAGAUAUCAUUUUAAAAUUAUAGUACUUUUCUGUCGAUUUGGAAAUACGCUUUUAAUUUAUCUCAAAAUCGUCUUCGUUUUCGUCUCUUCAAUAUGAUAAGUUCAUUUGGCGUCCCACACCGAAGUGUUUUUACCCUAUUGAAAAGGCCAGGAAUCUGGAGUACACAACACUUUAAAUAUUAUGCCAAGGAAAUUUAUGAGCGAGGCAAAGCUAGAGAGAAUACGUACUUUCUUAAAAUUCAAUAUGAUCAGUUAAUUAGACUAAAAAACAAAUUUCUUAAAAGACGCGACCAACUGGAUAAAGCAAUUGAGGAAUUGACAAAGGCUGAAAAAGAACAUUGAAAUACAAAGCUGCGACAAAUUCUACUAAAGAAUCAAACGAUAUUUAUUUAUAUUUCUUCUCAGUAAUCCAUGAAAAUAAUUUCUUACUUAACUUAUUGAAUUCGAAUUUGGAACUUAGCUCAAAAGAUAUUUCUUAUACAAUUCUAAAUUUGAAUACUGCUGGAAGAUGGAAAGUUUGUUUGGAUUUCGGUUUAAAAGUACUGACAACUUUUUGAAGCCACAGCGUUUAUUCUAUGGUCGCGAAUACUCUAAGAAAAUAUAUGAAAAAAGAAUUGAAAACGAUAAUGUCUAUUUUCUGAAAUUGAAAUAUGAUCAAUUGGUUGUCUUGGUAAAGGCAAAAUUCAGGGAGCAAAAGAAACUCAAAAGGAAAAUCAAUAAAUUGAUCAGCCAAAUUCAAACUGUUAAGGAUAAAAUUGAUGAGCAGGAAAAUAAUUCUAGUGAAAUCGAUUUCUAAACCGUGCCGUUUUCGUUUCCUUGUCAAUCCCAGUAGGCGCCUAAAAAAGAAAAGAAAAAAACAUUUGCUUUCUGCUUAACUUUCAGAUGUAACCAUUAUUCGAAAUUAUAAACAAGUUUACGAAUAUCUAAGAUUUUAUUUUGUAUUUGAUUUGAUUUUUUUUUGUCUGUCCAAAUUCUAAUGAUGCAGCCAGCUUUGCGAUUGGUCAAGACUUUAUUUUUUCGAAAAACAUCAGAAUGUGCAGCAUGCGCUCAUAUUGUAAGGAAAUUCAAUGAUGAUGGACACGAUAGAGCCAGAGCCUUGGAAAAUUCGCACUUUUGGAAAAUUCAAAUUGAACAACUCAGACAACUGCGUUCGAGGAUGGUUCAGAAAACAAGAUCUGAGACAAUGAAAGAUGAGCAAAAUCUGAAUAGUCAAGAUCAGCGAAAGCAAGUAACAAAGUAAACAAUUGAAUUCGUUUAUGGUUGAUGAAGUAAAUGUGGACAAAAUGUACUGUAUCAGGCUCAGAUGUGUGGCAGCUCAUCCCAGACACUGGGGAAAUCGGUUUCCACAACAGCUGCGCCUGCUAGCAGACGAGGAAAGUAACAAGAAUCGCGAUAAGAAGUAUGGAAAACUUUGGAAUAAACAAAUUGGGGAAUUGGUUCGAAAGCGAAACAUGCUGGCGUUGAUUGGCGAGUAUGUUGAGCUGCAGGAGAAGUAUGUGGACUCCAGGCUACGCAGCAAUAAAAUGUUGAUCGAAUUAGCCAAAGCAGUGUGGAGUUACGAAACCUUAUCCCAUGGAAAGAGCCAAUGAUAUAGAUAAAAAAGAAAAAAACACUUUCGAAAUCGAAUCGAUAUAUAUUAUUGUUGAUUUUUUAUUCAAAAUAAUUUGCAUUUCUCAUUUACAAUCUGAAGCCAAUAAACAAAUUAAAAUGCUGCUUCCAAA
RNA transcript from Drosophila albomicans, 3122 nucleotides. RefSeq lists it as uncharacterized. The record is from RefSeq and is a predicted model, not a curated record. The transcript has 13 exons. Lineage: Eukaryota; Metazoa; Arthropoda; Insecta; Diptera; Drosophilidae.